AGAGUUUGAUCCUGGCUCAGAUUGAACGCUGGCGGCAGGCUUAACACAUGCAAGUCGAACGGUAACAGGAAGAAAGCUUGCUUUCUUUGCUGACGAGUGGCGGACGGGUGAGUAAUGCUUGGGAAUCCGGCUUAUGGAGGGGGAUAACUACGGGAAACUGUAGCUAAUACCGCGCAAUAUCGAGAGAUUAAAGGGUGGGACCGCAAGGCCACCUGCCAUGAGAUGAGCCCAAGUGGGAUUAGGUAGUUGGUGAGGUAAAGGCUCACCAAGCCGACGAUCUCUAGCUGGUCUGAGAGGAUGACCAGCCACACUGGAACUGAGACACGGUCCAGACUCCUACGGGAGGCAGCAGAAGGGCGAAUU
RNAcentral lists this ribosomal RNA (363 nucleotides) under uncultured Actinobacillus sp. RNAcentral's name for it is "bacterial SSU rRNA". It matches the Rfam family "Bacterial small subunit ribosomal RNA", at positions 8 to 365 of the family's 1533-position model. The record is from RNAcentral. Lineage: Bacteria; Pseudomonadati; Pseudomonadota; Gammaproteobacteria; Pasteurellales; Pasteurellaceae.